ACCCAUCAAAUGAAAUGAGUUAUGGGUUGACCCAACUCAUUUUGUUAAAUGAGUUGGGUCUAACCCAUAACUCAUUUAAUCAUAAA
RNAcentral lists this microRNA precursor (86 nucleotides) under Arabidopsis thaliana (thale cress). Its description in RNAcentral is "miR405d stem-loop (ath-MIR405d)". Its record names the gene ath-MIR405d. It matches the Rfam family "MIR405 microRNA precursor family". Lineage: Eukaryota; Viridiplantae; Streptophyta; Magnoliopsida; Brassicales; Brassicaceae. The record is from miRBase by way of RNAcentral.